UCGAUCAUCUGAGGAUCAAGUAAUCACACGAGCACGACACCGAGAUUUAUUAACAAGGUUCACCGAUAUGGUUACAUCCCCGGGGCUUGACUACGGGCGUUCCUCCCCAUGACACCGUCACAAUACCGCACACCGGCCAUCCAGGUGCCGGCACAUGCCGCCGGCUCCCCCUUACGUGCCUGUGCUAUUAUGUUGGCAUAGGUUACAUCGUGUGUCUAGCUCCGCUAUAUAUGAGAGGCCUAGGAUACAAGUGUCCUAUUAAAACACGACUCCAUAUCCUAUCUAAACACAAUACAACUACAAAUCCAACUGUAAUCUACCUCGUACACUAUAUUUGACACAACUCCAACAGGGCGUUACCAUCGUUCCUAGACGCCCAUCUUAGAAUCCCCUACCUCGAGAUCUGCCAGUUUAGGUUUCGUCAUAUCGUGUCCUCGAUUAAUCCAACUGAUCGUCGACUGAUGGAAUCCUCCUUACGGGUGCCCACACUGACUGAUAAACCCCCCUGUUACUAGCAUUGCCUUGGGCUGUAAAGAUAAUGAGCUUGAGCCUCCAUGGGCCUUAGCUGGGUAAUAUGUCGCCAUGGGCCUGCCCAGUGGGAGAUAACCUCAUCAGCAUAGAGGUCAUCAUAUGGUACCGUUUCAGGAAAUACAAACAUGCAAUAACUGGAACUAACUACUGCAAAUCAUCAUGCCUGAAAUAGCAUGUUCAGAAUGCCAAUUACGACUGACUUGGACGUGCCUGGGUUGAGCGAUUGGUGGUUCAUACUUCAUAGUCCAUAGCUUUUUUAGCUCAAGUGUUACGUCGAGACAUUACAGAACCUAACUUAAAUUAAUAAAAAGGGCGAGAAGAAUAGAUUUAAAUUAAUCUACUAUGAUGCUCAAUUUAUAGAAGGGUAGUGAGUUCAGACCUUGGUGCAGUAGGCAGGUCACUUGAGAUAGUUAGCGCAAAUCAUCACACUAGGCAGGUCAUCAUCCGGG
Molecule: long non-coding RNA, 980 nt
Filed under: Triticum aestivum (bread wheat)
Lineage: Eukaryota; Viridiplantae; Streptophyta; Magnoliopsida; Poales; Poaceae
Description: long non-coding RNA (TAES_LNC010122)
Source: RNAcentral